Molecule: non-coding RNA, 97 nt
Organism: Mycena galericulata
Lineage: Eukaryota; Fungi; Basidiomycota; Agaricomycetes; Agaricales; Mycenaceae
Source: the annotation of a GenBank genome assembly
GCUUUGGUGGGGUGGUGGUAACCUGGGUCGUUGCCAUAUCUGUUUUCUUAACACUAUCGGGUUCGACCCGCCGGGGGUUCGAUUCCCUCCCAAAGCA